This 345-nucleotide unclassified non-coding RNA is filed under the name soil metagenome. Its description in RNAcentral is "partial contains 5.8S ribosomal RNA, internal transcribed spacer 2, and large subunit ribosomal RNA". The stretch from base 1 to 120 matches the Rfam family "5.8S ribosomal RNA", at positions 35 to 154 of the family's 154-position model. The record is from RNAcentral.
GAUGAAGAACGCAGCGAAAUGCGAUACGUAAUGUGAAUUGCAGAAUUCAGUGAAUCAUCGAGUCUUUGAACGCACAUUGCGCCCCCUGGUAUUCCGGGGGGCAUGCCUGUCCGAGCGUCAUUGCUGCCCUCAAGCACGGCUUGUGUGUUGGGCCUCCGUCCUCCUCCCGGGGGACGGGCCCGAAAGGCAGCGGCGGCACCGCGUCCGGUCCUCGAGCGUAUGGGGCUUCGUCACCCGCUCUUGUAGGCCCGGCCGGCGCUUGCCGACACAUCAAUCUUUUUUCCAGGUUGACCUCGGAUCAGGUAGGGAUACCCGCUGAACUUAAGCAUAUCAAUAGGCGGAGGA